UACGUAGGGUGCGAGCGUUGUCCGGAAUUAUUGGGCGUAAAGAGCUCGUAGGCGGUCUGUCGCGUCUGCUGUGAAAACCCGAGGCUCAACCUCGGGCCUGCAGUGGGUACGGGCAGACUAGAGUGCGGUAGGGGAGAAUGGAACUCCUGGUGUAGCGGUGGAAUGCGCAGAUAUCAGGAAGAACACCGAUGGCGAAGGCAGAUCUCUGGGCCGUAACUGACGCUGGAGGAGCGAAAGCGUGGGGAGCGAACAGG
Molecule: ribosomal RNA, 254 nt
Filed under: uncultured bacterium
Lineage: Bacteria
Description: partial 16S ribosomal RNA
Rfam family: Bacterial small subunit ribosomal RNA
Source: RNAcentral